RNAcentral lists this ribosomal RNA (1491 nucleotides) under Lactiplantibacillus pentosus. RNAcentral's name for it is "bacterial SSU rRNA". It matches the Rfam family "Bacterial small subunit ribosomal RNA". Lineage: Bacteria; Bacillati; Bacillota; Bacilli; Lactobacillales; Lactobacillaceae. The record is from RNAcentral.
GACGAACGCUGGCGGCGUGCCUAAUACAUGCAAGUCGAACGAACUCUGGUAUUGAUUGGUGCUUGCAUCAUGAUUUACAUUUGAGUGAGUGGCGAACUGGUGAGUAACACGUGGGAAACCUGCCCAGAAGCGGGGGAUAACACCUGGAAACAGAUGCUAAUACCGCAUAACAACUUGGACCGCAUGGUCCGAGUUUGAAAGAUGGCUUCGGCUAUCACUUUUGGAUGGUCCCGCGGCGUAUUAGCUAGAUGGUGGGGUAACGGCUCACCAUGGCAAUGAUACGUAGCCGACCUGAGAGGGUAAUCGGCCACAUUGGGACUGAGACACGGCCCAAACUCCUACGGGAGGCAGCAGUAGGGAAUCUUCCACAAUGGACGAAAGUUUGAUGGAGCAACGCCGCGUGAGUGAAGAAGGGUUUCGGCUCGUAAAACUCUGUUGUUAAAGAAGAACAUAUCUGAGAGUAACUGUUCAGGUAUUGACGGUAUUUAACCAGAAAGCCACGGCUAACUACGUGCCAGCAGCCGCGGUAAUACGUAGGUGGCAAGCGUUGUCCGGAUUUAUUGGGCGUAAAGCGAGCGCAGGCGGUUUUUUAAGUCUGAUGUGAAAGCCUUCGGCUCAACCCGAAGAAGUGCAUCGGAAACUGGGAAACUUGAGUGCAGAAGAGGACAGUGGAACUCCUUGUGUAGCGGUGAAAUGCGUAGAUAUAUGGAAGAACACAGGUGGCGAAAGCCGGCUGUCUGGUCUGUAACUGACGCUGAGGCUCGAAAGUAUGGGUAGCAAACAGGAUUAGAUACCCUGGUAGUCCAUACCGUAAACGAUGAAUGCUAAGUGUUGGAGGGUUUCCGCCCUUCAGUGCUGCAGCUAACGCAUUAAGCAUUCCGCCUGGGGAGUACGGCCGCAAGGCUGAAACUCAAAGGAAUUGACGGGGGCCCGCACAAGCGGUGGAGCAUGUGGUUUAAUUCGAAGCUACGCGAAGAACCUUACCAGGUCUUGACAUACUAUGCAAAUCUAAGAGAUUAGACGUUCCCUUCGGGGACAUGGAUACAGGUGGUGCAUGGUUGUCGUCAGCUCGUGUCGUGAGAUGUUGGGUUAAGUCCCGCAACGAGCGCAACCCUUAUUAUCAGUUGCCAGCAUUAAGUUGGGCACUCUGGUGAGACUGCCGGUGACAAACCGGAGGAAGGUGGGGAUGACGUCAAAUCAUCAUGCCCCUUAUGACCUGGGCUACACACGUGCUACAAUGGAUGGUACAACGAGUUGCGAACUCGCGAGAGUAAGCUAAUCUCUUAAAGCCAUUCUCAGUUCGGAUUGUAGGCUGCAACUCGCCUACAUGAAGUCGGAAUCGCUAGUAAUCGCGGAUCAGCAUGCCGCGGUGAAUACGUUCCCGGGCCUUGUACACACCGCCCGUCACACCAUGAGAGUUUGUAACACCCAAAGUCGGUGGGGUAACCUUUUAGGAACCAGCCGCCUAAGGUGGGACAGAUGAUUAGGGUG